CAGCAGCCACGGUAAUACGAAGGGUGCAAGCGUUACUCGGAAUUACUGGGCGUAAAGCGUGCGUAGGUGGUGGUUUAAGUCCGUUGUGAAAGCCCUGGGCUCAACCUGGGAAUUGCAGUGGAUACUGGGUCACUAGAGUGUGGUAGAGGAUAGUGGAAUUUCCGGUGUAGCAGUGAAAUGCGUAGAGAUCGGAAGGAACAUCUGUGGCGAAGGCGACUAUCUGGGCCAACACUGACACUGAGGCACGAAAGCGUGGGGAGCAAACAGGAUUAGAUACCCCGGUAGUCCCUGUCUCUUAUAC
This 301-nucleotide ribosomal RNA is filed under the name uncultured bacterium. Its description in RNAcentral is "partial 16S ribosomal RNA". It matches the Rfam family "Bacterial small subunit ribosomal RNA", at positions 509 to 807 of the family's 1533-position model. The record is from RNAcentral.